Molecule: ribosomal RNA, 554 nt
Filed under: Stagonospora sp. ID2-5
Lineage: Eukaryota; Fungi; Ascomycota; Dothideomycetes; Pleosporales; Massarinaceae
Description: eukaryotic LSU rRNA
Rfam family: 5.8S ribosomal RNA (bases 200-353)
Source: RNAcentral
CAUUACAUUCAGUAGCUUGCUACUGGUCGGGAGGCGCUGUAACUCCGCAUAGUAUUAAUUUACUGAUGAGCGGCAGGCCCUCUGUCUGUACCCUUGUCUUUUGCGCACUCAUGUUUCCUCGGCGGGCUUGCCCGCCGAUUGGACAAAACUAUAACCUUUUUAAUUUUCAAUCAGCGUCUGAAAAAAACUUAAUAAUUACAACUUUCAACAACGGAUCUCUUGGUUCUGGCAUCGAUGAAGAACGCAGCGAAAUGCGAUAAGUAGUGUGAAUUGCAGAAUUCAGUGAAUCAUCGAAUCUUUGAACGCACAUUGCGCCCCUUGGUAUUCCAUGGGGCAUGCCUGUUCGAGCGUCAUUUGUACCCUCAAGCUCUGCUUGGUGUUGGGUGUUUGUCCUCUCCUUUGCGUUUGGACUCGCCUUAAAGCAAUUGGCAGCCAGUGUUUUGGUAUUGAAGCGCAGCACAUUUUGCGAUUCUAGCCGAUAAUACUUGCGUCCAUAAGCCUUUUUUAACUUUUGACCUCGGAUCAGGUAGGGAUACCCGCUGAACUUAAGCAUA